This 490-nucleotide long non-coding RNA is filed under the name Calidris pugnax (ruff). Its description in RNAcentral is "lncRNA (ENSCPUG00000008620.1)". Lineage: Eukaryota; Metazoa; Chordata; Aves; Charadriiformes; Scolopacidae. The record is from RNAcentral.
AAGGAUUGCUGGGGCUGAAUUUGGGCUGAAUUUAAUAGCAACUUACUAACUGGUAAUUAUUUGUCUGCCUUUAACAGGAACUCGGUAAUGAGAGAGGUUAUCAUCCAGGAGUUACACUGAGUGUGUUCUUAAACCCUGCGAUGGGAAGACACUGUGCUAUGAGCAAAGUGACAGUGGCUUUGAUGUUCCUCCCCAGGAGAGCAGUGAUGCUGUUUGGGACAGCACAAAUACAGAAAACUUAAAGAGCUCCACGUAUCCACACUUGUACCUCUACGGUUUUACAUGCGCUCUUGGCCGUCGCCCGGUGUUGGAUGCAACUGGAUACUUCACGUCUAAGGAGAUGGAGAAAUAAAUUGCAUUGCUCUCCCUGCAAGUCUGAUCAAGCUCCGAAAGUUCCUUUUCAGAUUCCCACUUUCUAAUAACAGUAGAAAUGUUGCAGUGGACGUGCUCCUAGUCUCCUUUCUCCAACCCCAAAGCAAGAAAAUCUCAC